AUAUUAACAUAAUGAGGGUAGAAAAUGUCUCAUUCAUUUCUAUUUCCAACAGCACAGGUCCUGUCACACAACAAGAAGUCAAUAAAUGUUUGCUGCAUGGCUCAGUGUUCAUCAACCUUUAAGCAUGAGACCAAAAGAUUGCAAAGAUGCUUCAUGCUGUGACCCCUAGCCUCCAGGAAUGACUCAUGUCUAGCUUUCCUGAUUCAACAAAUAGAGAUGUAACUGAGUAGGUGGGCAAUGUAGCUAAAGAAUUUGCCCCAAGGAAGGAGAAGGAGGAGCAAGAUGGCCAAAUAGAAGCAUCCACUGAUCAUCCUUCCCACAGGAACAACAAAUUGACCAACUAUCCACACAAAAGGCACCUUGAAAACAACCAAAAGUCAGGAGACUUGCUAUUCCCUUCUCAGCUCUGUGAUGUUGAAGAAGCUACAUGGAAAGGAAUUCAGAGCAGCCUUCAGCUAUCAGCCAGUGAGAAACCAAGCCCCUCAAUUCAACAUCCCUUCAGGAAGAGAAUUCUGUCACCAACCAAGUUAGUUUGGAAACAGAUUCUUCCUCAGCCAAGCGCUAAGAUGAGACACCAGCCCUGGCUGACACCCUGACUACCUCCUGUGAGAGACCCUGAAACAGAAGACAUCUAAGCUAUGCCGAUUCCUGAUCCAUGGACACUCAUGCCAUAAUAAAAAUAUAUGUUGUUUUAAACUGCUAAA
This is a non-coding RNA of Macaca mulatta (Rhesus monkey), 704 nucleotides long. The record is from RefSeq and is a predicted model, not a curated record. NCBI's taxonomy places the organism in Eukaryota, Metazoa, Chordata, Mammalia, Primates, Cercopithecidae.